Molecule: ribosomal RNA, 497 nt
Filed under: uncultured bacterium
Lineage: Bacteria
Description: partial 16S ribosomal RNA
Rfam family: Bacterial small subunit ribosomal RNA
Source: RNAcentral
GAUGAACGCUGGCGGCGUGCCUAAUACAUGCAAGUCGAGCGAACAGACGAGGAGCUUGCUCCUCUGACGUUAGCGGCGGACGGGUGAGUAACACGUGGAUAACCUACCUAUAAGACUGGGAUAACUUCGUGAAACCGGAGCUAAUACCGGAUAAUAUAUUGAACCGCAUGGUUCAAUAGUGAAAGACGGUUUUGCUGUCACUUAUAGAUGGAUCCGCGCCGCAUUAGCUAGUUGGUAAGGUAACGGCUUACCAAGGCAACGAUGCGUAGCCGACCUGAGAGGGUGAUCGGCCACACUGGAACUGAGACACGGUCCAGACUCCUACGGGAGGCAGCAGUAGGGAAUCUUCCGCAAUGGGCGAAAGCCUGACGGAGCAACGCCGCGUGAGUGAUGAAGGUCUUCGGAUUGUAAAACUCUGUUAUUAGGGAAGAACAAAUGUGUAAGUAACUAUGCACGUCUUGACGGUACCUAAUCAGAAAGCCACGGCUAACUACGUG